GGAUCUUAAUUUGAGACAGUUUGCUACAGUGGGACAAUCAUCCUACAGCAACAGUAUAUGAACCAGGACAAACGAGAACUAAGGAGAACCAGACAACAUGGUUCCUGAAUGUGUUUCCAAUGCAUUACCAACAACAAGAUCAGAACAAUAGUUAUUUAUAGCUACUGUACAGUAGAUCUGUUCUCCUCCUACAGAUCUCCUCCCCAGUUCGCUGGCGAAUUAACUAUAAUGUAACUACAUCCCCUUUACCUGUAACUACAUCCCCUUUACCAGUAACUACAUCCCCUGUACCAGUAACUACAUCCCCUGUACCAGUAACUACAUCCCCUGUACCAGUAACUACAUCCCCUGUACCAGUAACUAACUCCCCUGUACCAGUAACUACUCCCCUGUACCUGUAACUACAACACCUACAGCCUCUGCGCCUUUAUCUACAGCCUCUGCGCCUUUAUCUACAGCCUCUGCGCCUUUAUCUACAGCCUCUGCGCCUUUAUCUACAGCCUCUGCGCCUUUAUCUACAGCCUCUGCGCCUUUAUCUACAGCCUCUGCACCAUUAUCUACAGCCUCUGCACCAUUAUCUACAGCCUCUGUACCAUUAUCUACAGCCUCUGUACCAUUAUCUACAGCCUCUGUACCAUUAUCUAUAGCCUCUGUGCCUUUAUCUAGUCUCUUUACCUUUAUCUACAGCCUCUGUACCAUUAUCUACAGCCUCUGUACCAUUAUCUACAGCCUCUGUACCAUUAUCUACAGCCUCUGUGCCUUUAUCUAGUCUCUUUACCUUUAUCUACAGCCUCUGUGCCUUUAUCUACAGCCUCUGUACCAUUAUCUACAGCCUCUGUGCCUUUAUCUACAGCCUCUGUACCAUUAUCUACAGCCUCUGUACCAUUAUCUACAGCCUCUGUGCCUUUAUCUAGUCUCUUUACCUUUAUCUACAGCCUCUGUGCCUUUAUCUACAGCCUCUGUGCCUUUAUCUACAGCCUCUGUAACUAAUCACAGCGCCUUUAACUGUAAUUAUAGCCCCUUUACCUGUAACAACGUCCCCUGAAACUGUAACCAAAGCCCCUGUAUCUGUAACCACAGGGCCCGUAUCUGUAACCACAGGGCCCGUAUCUGUAACCACAGGGCCCGUAUCUGUAAACACAGGGCCCGUAUCUGUAACCACAGGGCCCGUAUCUGUAACCACUGGGCCCGUAUCUGUAAACACAGGGCCCGUAUCUGUAACCACAGGGCCCGUAUCUGUAUCCACAGGGCCCGUAUCUGUAACCACAGGGCCCGUAUCUGUAACCACAGGGCCCGUAUCUGUAACCACAGGGCCCGUAUCUGUAACCACAGGGCCCGUAUCUGUAACCACAGGGCCCGUAUCUGUAACCACAGGGACCGUAUCUGUAACCACAGGGCCCGUAUCUGUAACCACAGGGCCCGUAUCUGUAACCACAGGGCCCGUAUCUGUAACCACAGGGCCCGUAUCUGUAACUGCAACUACAUCCCCUGUAACUACAACCUCUGUAACUUUAACCAAUGUGCCUGUAACAGCUACAGCCUGGUCCAUCAGACUGAGCCUAGUCCCUCUGCUGCUGGGCCUCUGACAACAUAACGCAUUGAUUACAACAUAAGGAGAUGUACAGUGAUUUGUAUGUAUUUCAAAAUACGUACAAUUAAAGUCAUGAUUUUUGUA
Long non-coding RNA from Oncorhynchus kisutch (coho salmon), 1675 nucleotides. RefSeq lists it as uncharacterized. The transcript is spliced from 2 exons. Lineage: Eukaryota; Metazoa; Chordata; Actinopteri; Salmoniformes; Salmonidae. The record is from RefSeq and is a predicted model, not a curated record.